This is a long non-coding RNA of Pan paniscus (pygmy chimpanzee), 378 nucleotides long. Lineage: Eukaryota; Metazoa; Chordata; Mammalia; Primates; Hominidae. The record is from Ensembl.
GCCAGGGCCGGCGGCCUCCAGCUGAUUUGAAAACUCUCACAGAUAUUGUAACAGCUGCUGAGUCUCUGAUUGGGUAUGAAGCCCUAACUCUGACUCCCGCUACGCUAGUUCAAGCAGAAUUAAGUCAGCAGAGCCACCACACAAACUCUCCUUUUAAGUUGAGCUACAAGGACUCCACAAUCAUAAAGUAGCCAGGAAAACCAGGAAUUUUGAAGAAAGUCAAGAAAAUUACUGAAGGGCUUGAGAUGGAAUCAUAUUGAAACUGUGAAGCCUUCUGCCAGAAAUUACUUCAUGUAAAGUGUAGGAGACACCACACAAGAGGUUACUAUGAGGAGACAGGCUCAAAUGAUAAGAUCCUCAUACUAAGAAUAAAUGAAU